AUUGGUGCCUCAUGCAAGUCAGCUUUGGCUGGCAACACUUUCGAAUUGCGGGAAACCCCUAAGAGCCCUUCACACCAAACCAGCUUGGGAAACCAGCUGGUGGCCCAUUGGAAACCAUGGGGUACGGUAACAGUGGAAGGGAUGAACCCGGCGUCGCAAGGCGCUUGGUGAAAUGGGCAAUCCGCAGCGAAGCCCCUGGUGUUGAUGGUAGCAAUCUCCAAGCCUUGCUUGGACCCGGAUCUGUAGAGGCCCGCCCUCGUACUUGUCCACCGCGCAGCCAAACAUGGGGAACGUUCACAGACUAAGUGGAAGUGGGUGGAGCACAGCUCUGCUUAAGAUAUAGUCGGGCCCCCUUGGAAACAUGGGGGAUUGGUUCAGGAGCAAGCGAGUACUUCGUGCUGAACCCAAAAGCAAACGUUCCGUAGGUGAACCUGCGGAAGGAUCAUUAUCCAUCUCACCAGGUGUGGUUGCGGCCCCCGGGGGCGUGGGCGUCUUCUGGCGUCCUCUCUCCCGGGCGGUAGGGGUAACACCCUCACGCGCCACAUUUCUGAAUCCUUUUUUUACGAGCACCUUUCGUUCUCCUUCGGUGGGGCAACCUGCCGCGGGAACCUAUCAAACUCUUUUGCAUCUAGCAUUACCUGUUCUGAUACAAACAAUCGUUACAACUUUCAACAAUGGAUCUCUUGGCUCUGGCAUCGAUGAAGAACGCAGCGAAAUGCGAUAAGUAGUGUGAAUUGCAGAAUUCAGUGAAUCAUCGAAUCUUUGAACGCACAUUGCGCCCCUUGGUAUUCCAUGGGGCAUGCCUGUUCGAGCGUCAUCUACACCCUCAAGCUCUGCUUGGUGUUGGGCGUCUGUCCCGCCUUUGCGCGUGGACUCGCCCCAAAUGCAUUGGCAGCGGUCCUUGCCUCCUCUCGCGCAGCACAUUUGCGCUUCUCGAGGUGCGCGGGCCGCGUCCACGAAGCAACAUUACCGUCUUUGACCUCGGAUCAGGUAGGGAUACCCGCUGAACUUAAGCAUAUCAAUAA
RNAcentral lists this unclassified non-coding RNA (1025 nucleotides) under Paraconiothyrium fuckelii. RNAcentral's name for it is "sequence contains ITS1, 5.8S rRNA gene and ITS2". The stretch from base 664 to 817 matches the Rfam family "5.8S ribosomal RNA". The record is from RNAcentral. Lineage: Eukaryota; Fungi; Ascomycota; Dothideomycetes; Pleosporales; Didymosphaeriaceae.